UUUGUGUUCCCAUGUUUUCUGCGUUAUUCCAAGCAAAAUUUGGAUUGCCCAACAAAUGUUUGUUUUGAAGGAUCAAAUCCUAUUUUGAUAACUCUCUUAACCCCUUCUGCAAACUUGAAGGCUUUUAAGCACAUAAUCAAGGGAUGAUAGGUGACUGAUAGAGAAAUGUCGCUCUAUACUUUUGAGGAUAUACAAUGUAGGAUCAGUUAUCGCCCUAUACUUCAACCCAACAAGUCUGGAUUCCUAGAAAAAAAAAAAAAUAUAGAAAGGCCUGAUCUUUUAAUCCCUAUAGAACACAGAAUCUCAAACUUGGGCAAAGUGUCUUUUUAAGAUGGCUAAAGGCUCCAUAGCCAGAUCUUAACAAAUUUGGAGAUGUGGGAAUUGCCGAAUCCAUAUUCCCCAAGAAGCAAGUACUGAGUCUGGUUUUUCAGGGGUUUCAAAACAUAUUCUCGUAUUCUUAGAGA
RNAcentral lists this unclassified non-coding RNA (464 nucleotides) under Hevea brasiliensis (rubber tree). The record is from RNAcentral. Lineage: Eukaryota; Viridiplantae; Streptophyta; Magnoliopsida; Malpighiales; Euphorbiaceae.